RNAcentral lists this long non-coding RNA (163 nucleotides) under Ictidomys tridecemlineatus (thirteen-lined ground squirrel). RNAcentral describes it as "lncRNA (ENSSTOG00000031883.1)". Lineage: Eukaryota; Metazoa; Chordata; Mammalia; Rodentia; Sciuridae. The record is from RNAcentral.
UGCUGAAGGACGAAGAAGACAAUGAAGACCGUGAAGAGGUCCAUCCACACUGGGCAGCCAUUCUUUUCUCCACUGGAAACCAGUCUCUACCUCACUUCCAUUUUCUCUGCGAAUACCAAGAAGAUCAGAAUCAGAGUGAAAAAGAAGGUGCUGAUUUGGCUGG